This 1138-nucleotide long non-coding RNA is filed under the name Homo sapiens (human). Its description in RNAcentral is "long non-coding RNA NONHSAT167272.1". Lineage: Eukaryota; Metazoa; Chordata; Mammalia; Primates; Hominidae. The record is from RNAcentral.
ACCCCCACCCCACCCCCCGAAGAAACACCCUGGGAAUAAGAUUUUAGUAUUUUGAGCUACAGGGAGACAUCGUUUUUAGAAACUCUCCUGCCUCCUCGGCCCUGCUGGCCGGCUUGUGGGCGAUGAAAACAAACUUUAAUCACUUCCAGAGAUUCGGGUCAGGGUUCACACGCUCCAGCCUGGGAACCACCAGCCGGAAGGGAGAAGCAGUGCCUGCAGGCUUUCUCGAUGGUCCCGGGGAGCAGGCGCUCCAGCAGCCUGCAGAGGACCACCCCAUCCUUCAGCGACGCCUGCAGAAAGCCCUCCGGGUCCGAGAUGGUUUUUUUGGGCGACUCCAGCACCCCCAGAGUGAUGAGCCACGUAACGGUUUGCUCGGCGGAAUUCAUCGCUGCGGCCCGGGAGGCAGGCGGGGAGGGGCGCGCGCCUUCACCUCGGAGCGGCGGCCCGGCCCGCGGCCCCCGCCGCCGCCGCCGCCGCCUCGCCCAUCGAGCGGGGUGGCGGGGACAGGCUGAAAACGAGACGUUUGUUUCGCUUUGCUACCUUGCAAGCCGGUCAUGACGGAACAGAAAUGAUGGUUCCAUCUGAAGCCAUAUGGGUCUGAAUCGGGAGGAACCGACUCUCCGGAGCGCGGCGCCGACCUCACCGGCAGGGCAGGGGCCUGCGCGACUCUGCUCUAGACGGACGGUGACGCUUCAGACCCUGCCGGGGGAAGGUCAAGGAAACGGCGUGGCCUGAAGUGGGGCUGUGCAGAGGGCCGGGCCGGGCCGGGCCGGGCGCCUGGCUGCGUCUCGGGGACGCCGAAGAUCUGGGCUGUGAAAGCAGCAGGCCGAACCUGGAGAGCCCAGACGGCAAGUGUCGCGUCAUGCGCGAGCUUCCUCGAACAACUGAUGACACGCACACAUUGACAUGCGAGGAAGAAAUGGAGCCUCUUCUUAAAAGGACACGAGUCUCCACUCACUCCAUCCACUGUCCCUGGGCGCUCCCCCAGUUUGCUCGCUAUGACCCGCGGGCAGUUUAACAAGCAAAGCACUUAGUCUAUGCCAGGCACAUACAUUAAUCCAUUCAAUGACAAAGGCUAGAAAGCAUAUAAAGCUUCCAAAAAUAAUCAGAGGCUUAAGUCGUCUCCCCCUGCCUUCUG